UACAUUGUUGAGAAAGCCCAUAGGAAAGGA
RNAcentral lists this non-coding RNA (30 nucleotides) under Mus musculus (house mouse). Lineage: Eukaryota; Metazoa; Chordata; Mammalia; Rodentia; Muridae. The record is from RNAcentral.